GGCAAGCAGACCCUUACACAGUGUCAGGCACAGCUGGCUGUUUCCAGGCAACUGUGGGGCGGAGCAUACCUGGCUGUUGCCAGGCAACUGUGGGGGUGGAGCUUAGACAGAAUACCAACACACACUAUAAAGCCCAUGGCACCUGUGUCGAUGAACCGCCGUACAUGCCUCUCCUCGGCUGUCCAGAUAACCCUAUUUCCUGUAUUUUCAGUGUCUACACGGAAGCAGCAGCUCCACAUAUGGGUUCCUCACAGGUGUGCUGAGUAUCCUUACCCUUCCUGUUUCUGAAGGAGAGCACUGAUCAUUCACUAAGCCCCACGCCUCACUUUCCCUGAGGGGCUCACCCAGGGAACUCAGCACUGUGAAUGUCUAACCAAUCAUCAGGGACCUGUCUUCAGUAAAGGAAAUGAAGGAAACUCAGCCACUCUGGGGAUUGGAUUCUCAGUUUCCCAUGCUCAGGACAUCACGUGGGGUUCAGGGUACAGGGUGUCUGAGAUGCUGACCCCAAGAUAGAGCUGAGUAUGGAAGAACGACCUCAGAGAAGAUUUUCGAAGCAGGGAUGAGCUAUCUCGCAGGCUGGAAUAGGCUUGGCCUCGGUGAACUCACAGGCAGGGUGAACAGCGUGUGGAGCCUUCAGCGAGGCUGCCAGAAGUCUGUAGCCAAAGCCGGCUGUCAGGGCACCUUUGGUCUUUCAGAAACAGCCUGACUUAGGACCACAGUACUCUGUUCUCUGCCUGAGACUCAGUUCCAAGAACCCUAGCAACAUCGAGGAUGGGAUGCUGGUGUCAGGAGCAGCUGACCCUCCUGAUCAAUUAUGAUCCCUGAGAUUCACAAUCGGGUGGCUGCAUUUCCAUGACAGUUGCUCUCAUGGGCCAUCUUCAGAGGAUUCCAGCUCAUGGUGUCUUCCCUUCUCCUGAGACCCGCACAGCCAGUUCUGAGGUGGGCCCCUCUGGUUGCACAGCCUUCCGGAGCACCCUUGGGCGUGCCUGUAGUGCUUUACCAAUGGCCAGUGUCAUCAGUGAAGAUAACAUAUUAUGAAAGUAAAAGGAACUUUGCGAGCCCAGAAUGUCCACUGUCUGCACACCAGUUCCACCCUAAAGCGGGUCUUUGAAAGGCUUUUAAAUAAAUCCAAAGUAAGGCGGAGUUUUACAUUUACAAGCUCUACACGGAUACAUUGCCUCUCCCCUGGUCUGGGUCCUGACUGUGGAGGUUGAAAGCCAGACGCCCAAGCUCUAGGCUGGCAUCUGUCCCUCAGGCCUCUGAAGAGUUUGUCCCCAUUGUCACUCGGGGUACCUCGUCCAGUCACAGCCAUGGGAGAAGUUGUUCAGCACUGCUAGAGACGUGACUCAGUGGGUGGAGACUCAGCCCCUGCACUGCACACAGUGGGUGUGACACAGAACAUGUGUAAGUCCCAGCACUCAGGAGGUUGCUGACUCAGGACUUGAGGGCUGCCCUCAGCCACACAGAGCUAGAGGUUACCCUAGGCCACAAGACCCUAUCUAAAAAUGUAACUAGGGAGGGGCCUCAGUAGUUAAGUGUGCGUGCUGCUCUUCCAGAGUCCAGAGCCGCGUUCCCAGCAUCCACAGGGUGGACUGAGCUCACAAAGGCCUGUAACUCAAGCUUCAUGGGAUCCAACACCUCCCUGUGCCCAGCAUAGACAAACACAUCUAAGCGAAACUACAGGAGCUCCCUGAGCUGUGACAUUGCCUUGGGUCACCACCUCAUUCUCUGGCUACCGUCAGGGUCCCCAGUCCAGUGGGCUAAUGCCUACAAAAGGCUAAAGGGUCUAUGUCCAGAGCUGCUUCCCCCUGAGGGGAAGGCUGACCUGGCAUGACUGCAGCCUCUCUCUUCCUCCCUUUGCCUGUUACUGGUGAGUAGGGCAGACAUGUUUGCUCACUGCUGUCCUGUAUCUUGCUCAUCCUCGAUCCUCCUGUCACAUGACUCGCCUCUCCUGCAUCGGAAGCGCUUGGCUUUCCCCAAGUUCAAGUUUUACCAGCCAUUUCCUUGGGUUUCCUUGUAAGUUCUUGGGUAGGAGAAUUUUCAAUACUGCUCAGCGGUGCCUUUCACACACACCAGGGGCCUAAUCAGGUUUUUAAGGUGUGUCACAGUCAUAAACACAGACCCAAAAGCAGUGCCUUGGUUACUUUUCUCAUUGUAUUAGGUACUAAUCGUGUUGCUGUCACAGAUUCCCGGAAAUAGCAACUUAAGGAAGGAAGGAAGGAAGGAAAGAUAGAAGGAAGGAAGGAAGGAAGGAAGGAAGGAAGGAAGGAAGGAAGGAAGGAAGGAAGGACAGGACAGGACAGGAGGAAGGAAGGAUGAAAGGAAAGGAAGGCGUUAAGAUCCCAGAUUAAAAGAACCAAGAGACUUCCAUGACUGAGAUGUGUUUUCCAAAAACAUGUUGAAAGGUGGUUAUGUCUCGUGGGAUUAUAUUCCGUCUCACAAGAUGGGAUAAGCCACAGCAAUGUGGGGCUCUAAAGCAAGCAUGGCAUCUCUUUCUGUCUUUAUUACCCCACGUUUCUCUUUCGUUCAUUCCCAUUUUCUCUCCUGUCCUGACACUCAUAGCAGAAGCCAAGCAAACACUGGCACCAUGACCCGUAACAUUGGGCUAUGUAAUAAUAAUGCUACACAGCCUCAGGCAUUUUGUUACAGCAACAGAAAAGAAGCUAAGCCAUAAUCAUAGGGUGUUACCGAGAAGGGGACACAAGGGUUGUGAGAGAUGGGGACGUCCUUGCACAGGUUGGCUUCCCAGAGGAGGUAACAGUGUCACCUGAGUUCUGAAGGCCAAGUAAACCUUCCCUGGGGAGGAGAGGAAGAGAGCUGCAUGCUGGGAAGAUGAAACAGAUCAUGAGUGGUGAGUGUCAGAGAGUGUGCUUGAGGAGUUAGGAGGCAGCACUUGCAGGAGCCUGAGAGAGACACAGUCAGUUCACACUGAACCCAGGGAUGUCAGUGUCAGCAAAAAGCAGUGUGUGUGUGUGUGUGUGUGUGUGUGUGUGUGUGUGUGUGUGUGUCAGGAAGCCAGUACUUGGCCUAUCCUAAUGGGAUCCUAAGACACUCACGCCAAAGACAGGAAGAAUGGAGGAGGAGAAAGACAAGAGAGCUGCCUUCCCAUGGGCACACCCAGGGUCCCCGUAUGAAGAAGUGCGAUUUCUGCACGAUUAACUGAUAUGAAACUCAUCUGCCAACCGUGACAGGCCCAGCCUUUGUCCUUUUCAUCCCGUGCUCCUGAGCACAGUAAGACAGAUAAUGAGUAGCAGGCAUUUGAGGGAAGUCUUUUCUGCAAAGGACAGAGACGUAAAUAAAUAGUAAAUGAAUGAAUGAAUGAAUGAAUAAAGAUAAAUAGUAAGUGAAUGAAUGAAUGAAUGACUAAAUAAAUAAGAAAUAAAUAUGGCUGGGGAAAUAGCUUGACUGGUGAAAUGCUUGCCUUAUAAGCAUGACGACCUGAGCUCAACGCCUAGAACCCACUUUAAAUUACAAAGAGCCAUGUGCUGUGAUACAGGCUGAUAAUCCCAGUGCUGGGGAGGCGGUAAUGAUGGCGUCUCCCUGGAGUUUCCAGUGGCCAUCUAGACCAAGACACAGGCCCGGGGAGAGCCUUUGUCUCAAAUAGGAGGUGGGACCAACGAAAUGACUCAGCACACGAAGGUGCCUGCUUGAGUUCAAUCUCCUUUGAUUCCUGGGACCCACGUGGUGGAAGGCAAGAACCACGUCCCCAUGAGUUGUCCUUUGGCUUCUACGGGAGUGCCAUGGUGUGUGUGUGCACACAUUAACAAAUGGGAAAAUAAAUGUUUUUAAAAGGUGGAUGGGGGGUUGGGGAUUUAGCUCAGUGGUAGAGCGCAAGGCCCUGGGUUCGGUCCCCAGCUCCGAAAAAAAGAAAAAAGAAAAAAAAGGUGGAUGGUACUAAAAGAAUGAGAGUCCAGGUUGUCUUCUAGUCUACACACACACACACACACACACACACACACAUGCACACACACAUACAGAGGCAUGUGAACCCCUGUGCACAUCACAUGUAUGCACACGCAAUCUAAAUUUCAGCAUAGCUAUUUCUCUUAGGCAUAGGUGAAGCUGAAGUGCUGUCUGAAGUGAAAGUAUCUGAUUGUGUCACGUGACGCAGGCUCACGUGGUGUUUUGCUGAUGCAAGACCCUUGGGAGGACACGUGAUAUUUGGAGAGAGUAUGAAUAGGACUCAACGGACAGUGCACUUGCAUAGCAUUGGUCUCUUGUCUUCCCUGAUCUUCACUUUGUCGAGAGAGGCAUGGCAGAGAACUCCUGGCGUUCUGGCUGGUCCUGGUCACUCCUGCUGACUCAUGUUGUUUCUUUGGAGACCUGGCAGUUUCUGCUGGAUCUUGCCACCACUGCUGAUUUGUGUUUGGUGGCACUUUUGAACUGGACUGCUGGUAUCCUGACAACAGAGAUGGAAACCACCUCCAAAGAACUACUUCUAAAUAGGUCCACACCCUCUUGUCCUAGUUACCACCUUUUCUCCCCUACCUCUGGAUGGUGGGCUAGCAGGGGCAACAAAGUGUUUGAAAACCUUUAUUAAAGUAGAUUUUGAAAAAUCUAAGCCUAUACCUGUUAACCACAGUGGCUGUUGCUUCCUCCCCAGGAGACAAUUUAGAGUGGAUUAAAGAAAGCAAUGAGGGAUCAGUAACGACCAAUUAACCACGUGGAACCAACCCAGAAAAGCAGUGGAGAUGUUCUUGCUGUGUUUUCCUACCACAGGAGAUGGCUUCACUCCACAGUAUACAAUGAAUUCUGGUGAUAGAGUCUGUGGCCACUGCCCAUGAAAUGUUUGUGUUGUACUAGUCAGGGCUGUGCUGAUACUGGAGUUGUAACUUGGAACCACUGGACACCAUUUCCAUGGUGAUAGUGAACACUUUGGCCAACUCUGUGCACCUGUCUGUUUCUCCUCACUGAGCUGAGGGAAGGACAGCCUGGUGGCCUUUUGCAGCUCCAGAGGAACAGAAGUCAGGUGCUCUAUAAGUGGGCAACAGAAUGCUCUGUGGAGAGUUUUAAGUUGUCAUCUGGAAUGGUACAUAGGGCAGCAUCAUCCCCAGGCAUCUCAGCACCUUUCCUUUGCAUCUGAGG
Rattus norvegicus (Norway rat) is the source of this 5085-nucleotide non-coding RNA. NCBI's taxonomy places the organism in Eukaryota, Metazoa, Chordata, Mammalia, Rodentia, Muridae. The record is from RefSeq and is a predicted model, not a curated record.